AUUGAACGCUGGCGGCAGGCCUAACACAUGCAAGUCGAGCGGAUGAAGGGAGCUUGCUCCUGGAUUCAGCGGCGGACGGGUGAGUAAUGCCUAGGAAUCUGCCUGGUAGUGGGGGAUAACGUCCGGAAACGGGCGCUAAUACCGCAUACGUCCUGAGGGAGAAAGUGGGGGAUCUUCGGACCUCACGCUAUCAGAUGAGCCUAGGUCGGAUUAGCUAGUUGGUGGGGUAAAGGCCUACCAAGGCGACGAUCAGUAACUGGUCUGAGAGGAUGAUCAGUCACACUGGAACUGAGCCACGCUCCAGACUCCUACGGGAGGCAGCAGUGGGGAAUAUUGGACAAUGGGCGAAAGCCUGAUCCAGCCAUGCCGCGUGUGUGAAGAAGGUCUUCGGAUUGUAAAGCACUUUAAGUUGGGAGGAAGGGCAGUAAGUUAAUACCUUGCUGUUUUGACGUUACCAACAGAAUAAGCACCGGCUAACUUCGUG
RNAcentral lists this ribosomal RNA (484 nucleotides) under uncultured bacterium. RNAcentral describes it as "partial 16S ribosomal RNA". It matches the Rfam family "Bacterial small subunit ribosomal RNA", at positions 30 to 507 of the family's 1533-position model. The record is from RNAcentral.